This 302-nucleotide unclassified non-coding RNA is filed under the name Hevea brasiliensis (rubber tree). The record is from RNAcentral. Lineage: Eukaryota; Viridiplantae; Streptophyta; Magnoliopsida; Malpighiales; Euphorbiaceae.
GGAAAUUGCAUCUGGCCCAAGAGCAGCGUCCCUUAAAAUGAAGGUUGGCCUGUUUGGUUGUGUUUCAGGAGGAACUAGCAACUGGAAAUGAGACUCUUGGGUUGAGCGCGAGACACCAACCCGUUACAGCUAAAGGGCUGAGGUGUAUUCCUUUCUUCCUUCUUUUUAUAUUUUUUUCUUUUUUGUUUUUCAAUGUUCUUAAUUUUGUAUACCCACAUCAGUUACCUGGGGGGAGGGAGAUUGGAUUGAAAAAAUGGAGAACAGUGUGCUGAGGAGAUUGGAUUGUGUUUCUCGUCACCUUU